AUUCCAGCUCCAAUAGCGUAUAUUAAAGUUGUUGCAGUUAAAAAGCUCGUAGUUGAAUUUCUGUACAGUCCCGGUUCUGGCUUCGGUCAAGCCGUGGAUUGUGCAUCCGCUUGCAAAUCUAGCUCGGCCUUCACUGGUCGACUAGGGGAGUAAGCCCUUUACUUUGAAAAAAUUAGAGUGUUUCAGGCAGGCAAUGGCUCGAAUACAUUAGCAUGGAAUAAUGGAAUAGGACUUUUGUCCAUUUGGUUGGUUAUUGGACAUGAGUAAUGAUUAAAAGGGACAGUUGGGGGCAUUAGUAUUUAAUAGUCAGAGGUGAAAUUCUUGGAUUUAUUAAAGACUAACUUAUGCGAAAGCAUUUGCCAAGGAUGUUUUCAUUG
RNAcentral lists this ribosomal RNA (377 nucleotides) under Parauronema sp. RNAcentral describes it as "partial small subunit ribosomal RNA". It matches the Rfam family "Eukaryotic small subunit ribosomal RNA", at positions 582 to 975 of the family's 1831-position model. Lineage: Eukaryota; Ciliophora; Oligohymenophorea; Philasterida; Philasteridae. The record is from RNAcentral.